UACGUAGGGGGCAAGCGUUGUCCGGAUUUAUUGGGCGUAAAGAGCGUGUAGGCGGCCAGACAGGUCAGCUGUGAAAACUCGAGGCUCAACCUCGAGACGUCGGUUGAAACCGUCUGGCUGGAGUCCGGAAGAGGAGAGUGGAAUUCCCGGUGUAGCGGUGAAAUGCGCAGAUAUCGGGAGGAAUACCGGUGGCGAAGGCGGCAUCCUGGACCGACAUUGACGCUGAGGAGCGAAAGCCAGGGGAGCAAACGGG
This 253-nucleotide ribosomal RNA is filed under the name uncultured bacterium. RNAcentral's name for it is "partial 16S ribosomal RNA". It matches the Rfam family "Bacterial small subunit ribosomal RNA", at positions 524 to 776 of the family's 1533-position model. The record is from RNAcentral.